Lontra canadensis (Northern American river otter) is the source of this 973-nucleotide long non-coding RNA. RefSeq lists it as uncharacterized. Lineage: Eukaryota; Metazoa; Chordata; Mammalia; Carnivora; Mustelidae. The record is from RefSeq and is a predicted model, not a curated record. The transcript has 3 exons.
AGCUAACCUUCGGGAACUUUUAAUUCGGGGUAGUGGUAUACAUAAAGUCUAGUCCCCAGAGGUGCGCGUAAUGAAAAGGGCUUCCACCCCAGUCGCGUCCCGAGGUGCUUUCCACGUUUUCGUGUCCCGUUUGCUCUGAGCUUAUCCUGGAGAAAACUUCAGGUAAGUCUCCGGAUAAGUCGUUGGAAAGGGGGGAGGGGGUUCACCUUCCCUGGACCCAGCGGGAAAUACCGCUUCCCCGCCCCCACCCUCACCCUCACAUACACACCCCUUCUUCGCUCCCUCCAAAUGGUUAUCACAACUGUGUACAAACUGAUACGGUGCUGAGCCGGCAAAGGGACUGGAAAUGAACGUCGCGGGGUUAUCAGCGCGGAUCUGUCAGCAGCGAGGCGCGCGGCUGCGGGUUCGUCCGCCGCAGGAGCAGUGAUAUAUGUCUCCGCUCCCUUUGGCUCACAAAAAGAUUUCUUCCGACAGACGCGACCCCAGAAGGCCGCGGAGAGAGAAUUUUAACUAGGGCAGCAGGAGUUGCUUUGUGAGGUUGCAUUUCACAUUUUUCUCCCAGCUUCGCAGUGGUUGUGAGAGGGUGCGCUGGCCUUGGGACCGCUGGGACAGAGACUCAAGGAGUGGUCCCUCCGGAGUGUGCCUUCCGUCCUCGAGCCUCCCUCCUCGUCCUCAGGAGAGUUGUUGGCUCUGGGGCGCGACCUGUCCCCAGGGCUGAUUUAUUUGGGGCGCGCCACCACACUACUCUUCGCGAUUCGAAUCCAGCCAGAAUAGAGCAGCCAAUUGGGCAGGGGGCGGAGGCUUUGUUGCUAAAUGCGAGGGGAUGUUUGGGGACCCAGUCACGCUCUGCUUCCAGAGGAGCUAUGACACCCGAGCGGGGGCCCGCAUAACGACACGCCUUGACCCCUGCAAACUUAAGCUCAUUACGCUGUCAGUUCCCCCAAAGCUCCCCGCUGCUCUAGCGACACUUGAG